Molecule: ribosomal RNA, 2889 nt
Filed under: Drosophila erecta
Lineage: Eukaryota; Metazoa; Arthropoda; Insecta; Diptera; Drosophilidae
Description: eukaryotic LSU rRNA
Rfam family: Eukaryotic large subunit ribosomal RNA (bases 1722-2889)
Source: RNAcentral
CCGGUAACUAGAGGUUGCCCGCAGGGGUCAAUCAGCGGCCCAUUUAUUUGGGACAUGCUGAUGGAUGUACUGCUUCAGCGCCUCGAGCCGUAUUGCCUGCUAAGUGCAUACGCGGAUGACCUGCUUCUUCUCAUCGAGGGAAACUCCCGAGCCGUGCUAGAGGAAAAAGGAGCGCAACUGAUGUCCAUCGUUGAAACGUGGGGAGCGGAAAUAGGCGUUGCCGUUUCGACCAGCAAGACGGUAAUAAUGCUACUCAAAGGUACCUUGAGACGUGCGCCCACGGUAAGAUUCGCUGGAGCGAACCUGCCGUAUGUGCGCAGCUGUCGGUACCUUGGCAUCACGGUCAGUGAAGGAAUGAAAUUCCUCACGCAUAUAGCUUCGCUUCGCCAGCGGAUGACCGGAGUCGUUGGAGCAUUGGCGCGUGUGCUACGAGUCGACUGGGGCUUCAGUCCUCGAGCCAGGCGGACCAUAUAUGCGGGACUCAUGGCACCUUGUGUGCUAUUUGGUGCCUCGGUAUGGUAUGACACCGCCGCACAGGUAGCUGCCAGGAGGCGACUAUCCUCCUGCCAUAGACUGAUCCUGCUUGGAUGUCUAUCGGUAUGCCGAACAGUGUCCACCGCGGCACUGCAGGUUCUUGCUGGAGCCCCCCCGCUUGACUUGGCCGCUAAGAAAUUAGCGGUCAAAUACAAGCUGAAGCGUGGAUACCCGCUGGAGGAGAACGACUGGCUCUAUGGCGAGGACAUUACGCGUCUAAGCCGUGAGCAAAAAGAGAUUCGCCUAGAGGAAUGCUUGCUAUUGAGUUGGCAGAGCAGAUGGGAUGACGACAGCGAACCAGGACGGGUGACGCACAGGUUCAUCCCGGAUGUCACCCUCGUCUAUCGGGAUCCGAAUUUUGGUUUCUCGAUGAUGGCGUCUUUUCUUGCUCACUGGGCACGGGUCGUUCAACGCAUUUCUGCAUGGGAGAGCCCUUAGCGAUACCACUGCUUGCGCAUGUGGUGAUCCAUACGAGGACUGGGAUGCACGUGUUGUGCGCCUGCCCCUCUAUAAUGCAGAUCUGCGAGACCUCGAUGGACUUGGAAGUGCAGCGUGGUUGGCGAGGACUGGACAUUCGAAAGAAUCCUGGAGGAUCGGGAGAGAACGCAACGGCUGGUUGUGUUCGCUGAGUUGGUGUUCCACAGAAGAAGAAGCAGAUAGCCUGACGCCGUGCCGUGUGGUUAGCGGGCGAGAAUACUGCCACAGCUUGCCGCAGCUUGUCGUAGAAGGCGACUAAUGCGGCAAUAGGUCACUCCGCCCGUGCUUGUCGGAGCCAAAGAGUGAGGCCGACCGAGCCUCUAAUUUUCGGUACCACGGGUUGAACAGUUCCAAGACUGCUCAUUGAGGUUGGCCCCCUUGUGGGAGUAUCGUGGUGGCUGUGGUUGGUACCCAUAUCGCGGGUAGAGCCUUCAUGCUCGACGUUUGAGUAACGGCGCGGGUUGCGCAACACUCGGGUGCUGUGACCCAUAGAACAGUAGAGAUUUUAGGUAGAUCUCGCUCCUCAGCAAGGGGGAGUGCUUGCCCGGCAAGCAAGCACUCGAAUUGCUACCGGGGUGGUCGCUAUGUACAUAGCUAUAGCUUCCAGACCGGGACGUUUUGUUCAGCGUAUUGGACACAUGCAUCAUAUGCUCACUUGUGGGUGUAUAGGGUGCCGUGGUUGUAAUCCCUUCAAUGUGGAACACGCCACGUAAAACAAGUUCGGAGGGAUCCGAUUCAUACACUGUCCCUAUCUACUAUCUAGCGAAACCACAGCCAAGGGAACGGGCUUGGAAUAAUUAGCGGGGAAAGAAGACCCUUUUGAGCUUGACUCUAAUCUGGCAGUGUAAGGAGACAUAAGAGGUGUAGAAUAAGUGGGAGAUAUUAGACCUCGGUUUGGUAUCGUCAAUGAAAUACCACUACUCUUAUUGUUUCCUUACUUACUUGAUUAAAUGGAACGUGUAUCAUUUCCUAGCCAUUAUACGGAUAUAUUUAUUAUAUCUUAUGGUAUUGGGUUUUGAUGCAAGCUUCUUGAUCAAAGUAUCACGAGUUUGUUAUAUAAUCGCAAACAAAUUCUUUAAUAAAACGAUGCAUUUAUGUAUUUUUGAUUUGAAAAUUUGGUAUAACUCCAAUUACUCAGGUAUGAUCCAAUUCAAGGACAUUGCCAGGUAGGGAGUUUGACUGGGGCGGUACAUCUCUCAAAUAAUAACGGAGGUGUCCCAAGGCCAGCUCAGUGCGGACAGAAACCACACAUAGAGCAAAAGGGCAAAUGCUGACUUGAUCUCGGUGUUCAGUACACACAGGGACAGCAAAAGCUCGGCCUAUCGAUCCUUUUGGUUUAAAGAGUUUUUAACAAGAGGUGUCAGAAAAGUUACCAUAGGGAUAACUGGCUUGUGGCGGCCAAGCGUUCAUAGCGACGUCGCUUUUUGAUCCUUCGAUGUCGGGCUCUUCUAUCAUUGUGAAGCAAAAUUCACCAGCGUUGGAAUCGUUCACCCAUGCAAGGAACGUGAGCUGGUUUAAGACCGUCGUGAGACAGGUUAGUUUUACCCUACUAAUGACAAAACGUUGUUGCGACAGCAUUCCUGCGUAGUACGAGAGGAACCGCAGGUACGGACCAAUGGCACAAUACUUGUUCGAGCGAACAGUGGUAUGACGCUACGUCCGUUGGAUUAUGCCUGAACGCCUCUAAGGUCGUAUCCGUGCUGGACUGCAAUGAUAAAUAAGGGGCAAUUUGCAUUGUAUGGCUUCUAAACCAUUUAAAGUUUAUAAUUUACUUUAUAAACGACAAUGGAUGUGAUGCCAAUGUAAUUUGUAACAUAGUAAAUUGGGAGGAUCUUCGAUCACCUGAUGCCGCGCUAGUUACAUAUAAAAGCAUUAUUU